AGAGCGAACGCUGGCGGCAGGCCUAAUACAUGCAAGUCGAACGGAUCCUUCGGGAUUAGUGGCGGACGGGUGAGUAACACGUGGGAACGUGCCCUUUGGUUCGGAACAACUCAGGGAAACUUGAGCUAAUACCGGAUGUGCCCUUCGGGGGAAAGAUUUAUCGCCAUUGGAGCGGCCCGCGUCUGAUUAGCUAGUUGGUGGGGUAAAGGCCCACCAAGGCUACGAUCAGUAGCUGGUCUGAGAGGAUGAUCAGCCACACUGGGACUGAGACACGGCCCAGACUCCUACGGGAGGCAGCAGUAGGGAAUCUGCGCAAUGGGCGAAAGCCUGACGCAGCCAUGCCGCGUGAAUGAUGAAGGUCUUAGGAUUGUAAAAUUCUUUCAGCGGGGACGAUAAUGACGGUACCGCAGAAGAAGCCCGGCUAACUUCGCGCCAGCAGCCGC
This 443-nucleotide ribosomal RNA is filed under the name uncultured bacterium. RNAcentral's name for it is "SSU rRNA". It matches the Rfam family "Bacterial small subunit ribosomal RNA", at positions 26 to 518 of the family's 1533-position model. The record is from RNAcentral.